GACGAACGCUGGCGGCGUGCCUAAUACAUGCAAGUUGAGCGCUGAAGGUUGGUACUUGUACCAACUGGAUGAGCAGCGAACGGGUGAGUAACGCGUGGGGAAUCUGCCUUUGAGCGGGGGACAACAUUUGGAAACGAAUGCUAAUACCGCAUAAAAACUUUAAACACAAGUUUUAAGUUUGAAAGAUGCAAUUGCAUCACUCAAAGAUGAUCUCGCGUUGUAUUAGCUAGUUGGUGAGGUAAAGGCUCACCAAGGCGAUGAUACAUAGCCGACCUGAGAGGGUGAGCGGCCACAUUGGGACUGAGACACGGCCCAAACGCCUACGGGAGGCAGCAGGAGGGAAUCUUCGGCAAUGGACGAAAGUCUGAGCGAGCAACGCCGCGGGAGUGAAGAAGGUUGUCGGAUCGUAAAACUCGGUUGGUAGAGAAGAACGCUGGUGAGAGUGGAACGCUCAUCAAGUGACGGUAACUACCCAGAAAGGGACGGCUAACUACGUG
Molecule: ribosomal RNA, 497 nt
Filed under: uncultured bacterium
Lineage: Bacteria
Description: partial 16S ribosomal RNA
Rfam family: Bacterial small subunit ribosomal RNA
Source: RNAcentral